This 468-nucleotide ribosomal RNA is filed under the name uncultured bacterium. RNAcentral describes it as "partial 16S ribosomal RNA". It matches the Rfam family "Bacterial small subunit ribosomal RNA", at positions 28 to 507 of the family's 1533-position model. The record is from RNAcentral.
GACGAACGCUGGCGGCGUGCUUAAUACAUGCAAGUCGAACGGAAAGGCCCUGCUCUUGCGGCGCGCUCGAGUGGCGAACGGGUGAGUAACACGUGAGUAACCUGCCCCUGACAUUGGGAUAACUCCAGGAGACUCGGGCUCUUAUCGCAUAUGAGCUCCUGCUGCAUGUGGGUGGAUGGAAAGAUUCGGCGGUUGGGGAUGGACUCGCGGCUUAUCGGCUUGUUGGUGGGGUAGUGGCUUACCAAGGCUUUGACGGGUAGCCGGCCUGGGAGGGUGACCGGCCACAUUGGGACUAAGAGACGGACCAGAAUGCUACGGGAGGCAGCGGUGGGGAAUAUUGCGGAGUAAGCGGGAGCCUGAGACAGCAACGCCGCGAGCGGGAUGACGGCCUUCGAGUGAUGAACCGCUUUGGACGGUAACAAAGAGUGAGUGACGGUAAUGGGUAAGAAAGCAACGGCUAACUACGUG